Molecule: transfer RNA, 75 nt
Filed under: Ruminococcus sp.
Lineage: Bacteria; Bacillati; Bacillota; Clostridia; Eubacteriales; Oscillospiraceae
Also listed under: 4 other names
Description: tRNA-Glu
Rfam family: tRNA
About the family: Transfer RNA (tRNA) molecules are approximately 80 nucleotides in length. Their secondary structure includes four short double-helical elements and three loops (D, anti-codon, and T loops). Further hydrogen bonds mediate the characteristic L-shaped molecular structure. tRNAs have two regions of fundamental functional importance: the anti-codon, which is responsible for specific mRNA codon recognition, and the 3' end, to which the tRNAs corresponding amino acid is attached (by aminoacyl-tRNA synthetases). tRNAs cope with the degeneracy of the genetic code in two manners: having more than one tRNA (with a specific anti-codon) for a particular amino acid; and 'wobble' base-pairing, i.e. permitting non-standard base-pairing at the 3rd anti-codon position.
Source: RNAcentral
GGCUCGUUGGUCAAGUAGUUAAGACGCUAUCUUCUCAGGAUGGAAUCGUAGGUGCAAUUCCUGCACGAGUCACCA